RNA transcript from Cryptotermes secundus, 1808 nucleotides. It is a transcript of the gene named U4/U6.U5 tri-snRNP-associated protein 1-like, with no coding region annotated. NCBI's taxonomy places the organism in Eukaryota, Metazoa, Arthropoda, Insecta, Blattodea, Kalotermitidae. The record is from RefSeq and is a predicted model, not a curated record. The transcript is spliced from 6 exons.
UCUCGACGUCUUGCACCCCUAUGGGCCUCCACAGCCUGUUACAGGGAAAGGUCUAUCUUUAUUUAUACUAUCAUCCUUUCUUGUAUAUUGGUUGUUGAGACCUGUUAUGGCCUCUUGUCAAAUGGGCAGCAGGGGCUGUUUCCCUGGGUGUGGGAGUGGCACUCACCUCCAUCUAGAGCAUAACUAAUUAAGCAUAGGGACAGCUUUGCAUUUAUGGGUACUACAAAACAGAAUGCUCUAUAACUACAUAAUUUAACUGUUUGUGAUUUGUGAGGUUUGUAGGUGGCAGAGUCAGUACUGGAGAGAAACUCAGAAGGAAACAUGGAAGGUGGUUCCAUUGUGCUGAAUGCUACCGCAGAAUUCUGCGGUACGUUGGGUGACAUCCCAAUUUAUGGUCUGGCUGGCAACAGGGAUGAGGACGCUCAAGAACUACUUGACUUUGAGAGGGAAAUGAUGGAAGAGAAGAAACGUCAGGAAGAAGAAGAUAAACGUGGAGCUAGGAAUGAAUUUGAGAUUGAGAUGAUGAAAAGUUUGGGCAUCGCGAGCGCUACAGUGGUCUGACCUCAGACUUCAAAGAAAAGGAGGGCUACAAACCAAAUGUUAAACUCGACUACACAGAUGAUGCUGGACACGUACUUAAUGCAAAGGAGGCUUUCAGAUACCUGUCUCAUGAAUUUCACGGAAAGGGACGUGACAAAAAUAAAGUGGAGAAACGAAUGAAGAAAACUGAACAGGAAGGAUUGAUGAAACAGAUGAGCUCAACAGACACCCACUCGGAACGCUUAGCCUCUUGCAGCAGAAGCAGAAAGAAAUGCAGUCUCCAUUUGUGGUCCUUAGUGGUGGUAAACAAACAUGAGAGCAACCAUCUCAAAAACAAAACUGCAAAUUCUUCAUGAAAUAUGCUGGCACCAACUCUGAACUGUGGCAUGGACUUAUGUUUUAUUGUUUUUUACUGUCUGGAAUAUCAUCUCCCUUUUUUUUUAAAUGAGACACAGCUUGCAGCUGCUGACAUGGCCUAUGUGUACUGGAAGGAAGGCCACAGAGUUCAUGUCACAUUAAAAUGAGUACAGUGGUUCUCCUGCUUCCUUAGGUAACCUCUUGGCACCUGUAAGCUGAAAAGUACAAUUUCUAGUGAUUAGUUGCUUGCUUAUAGGACUUGAGCCGGAUGAACAGCCUCUAAGCUAAAUUGGACAUUAAUCAGUAAUUACAUUUGGCCUUUCUUGAUUGCAAUAGCAAUAUUAUAUCUUUCCAAGGGAAGAAAGAAACCCUUGUUCAUUUGUAGGCCAGUAUGAAAAGCUGUAAAAUUAUACAAGCAACAGAAUCAGAAGAUGUACAGUCUACUGCAAAUCAUUGUAAAGCACCACUGAUAUAUCACUGAAACUUUUGUAAUGGGUUAUAAAAGUAACUUGGUUCAUCCUGGUCUGCCACACUGGUAACUGUAUAUAAGGUUUUUAACCACUAUUGAGUGUGAUUGAUAAAAGUUGUUUUUAGUUUUUCAUCCUUUACAUGUUUCGGUCAAAACUACCAUCUUCAGAAGGGUAUUAUCAACACGUAUGGAAACUACUGUUACAUGUCAUACAUGUAUAUGUUAUAUCUUAACUAUUAUUAAGAUGUACAUUGAUUUGUUAAAACAUCUAAAAAUUACAGUUAGUCUGUUUACAAAAUAAUGUUCAGUAUUUGUUUUAAAGUAGAGCCAAUUUGGUUUCUUUUCCUUACACUUUUGUAAUAAUUAUAGAUGUUUUAACAAAUCAAUGUACAUCUUAAUAUUAGUUAAAUGAUAUAACAUAUAUAUCUAUGACAUGUAACAG